AGGACGAACGCUGGCGGCGUGCCUAACACAUGCAAGUGGAGCGACGAACCGGGGCUUGCCCCGGGGCAGAGCCGCGAACGGGUGAGUAACACGUGGGUUACCUGCCCCGAUGACUGGGACAACCCGUCGAAAGACGGGCUAAUACCGGAUGUGCCCCUUGGGGGAAAGGAAGCUUCGGCCUCCGCAUCGGGAUGGGCCCGCGGCGCAUUAGCUUGUUGGUGGGGUAAUGGCUUACCAAGGCGACGAUGCGUAGCUGGUCUGAGAGGACGAUCAGCCACACUGGGACUGAGACACGGCCCAGGACUCCUACGGGAGCAGCAGUGGGGAAUCUGCACAAUGCGCGAAAGCGUGAUGCAGCAACGGCCGCGUGCGGGAAGAAGGUCCUUAAGGGUUGUAAACCGCUUUCGAGGUUGGACGUAAGCUUUAGCGUUAAUGCGGUUGAGUAGACGUCU
This 452-nucleotide ribosomal RNA is filed under the name uncultured soil bacterium. RNAcentral's name for it is "bacterial SSU rRNA". It matches the Rfam family "Bacterial small subunit ribosomal RNA", at positions 26 to 484 of the family's 1533-position model. The record is from RNAcentral.